AGAACGAACGCUGGCGGCAUGCCUAAUACAUGCAAGUCGAACGAACUCUUCGGAGUUAGUGGCGCACGGGUGCGUAACGCGUGGGAAUCUGCCCCUUGGUUCGGAAUAACAGUUGGAAACGACUGCUAAUACCGGAUGAUGACGAAAGUCCAAAGAUUUAUCGCCAAGGAUGAGCCCGCGUAGGAUUAGCUAGUUGGUGAGGUAAAGGCUCACCAAGGCAACGAUCCUUAGCUGGUCUGAGAGGAUGAUCAGCCACACUGGGACUGAGACACGGCCCAGACUCCUACGGGAGCAGCAGUAGGGAAUAUUGGACAAUGGGGCAAAAGCCUGAUCCAGCAAAUGCCGCGUGAGU
RNAcentral lists this ribosomal RNA (352 nucleotides) under uncultured soil bacterium. RNAcentral's name for it is "bacterial SSU rRNA". It matches the Rfam family "Bacterial small subunit ribosomal RNA", at positions 26 to 406 of the family's 1533-position model. The record is from RNAcentral.